CUGAUACUCCCUCCGUCCGAAAAUACUUGUCAUCAAGAUGAAUAAAAGGGGAUGUAUCUAGAUGUAUUUUAGUUCUAGAUAUAGCCCCUUUUAUCCAUUUUGGUGACAAGUAUUUCUGGACGGAGGGAGUAUUAU
Triticum urartu is the source of this 135-nucleotide non-coding RNA. The record is from Rfam. NCBI's taxonomy places the organism in Eukaryota, Viridiplantae, Streptophyta, Magnoliopsida, Poales, Poaceae.